CUCAGGCUGACUCCAUAAUCAUGGCUUACCCCAAAAAACGAAAAUCACCCAAGCAAGCAUCCUACAUACAGUAUAAGACUCCUGAAACAUCUGAAACAAGCACAGAAACAUCCAGAAAUAAAAAAAAAGGUCAAACUGAAGUCCUCCAGUCGGGCACUCGGGCAUCCUUCGCACCGUGUUUUUCAUGCCUCAUUGUCAUCAUCCUCUUGGCAUUCUCCAAGAUUCAGCUGAUCACCUCCCCCAUCAUUUCAACAAUUGAAUGCCAGAAUCUCCAUCGCCACCUGCAACAUAGUGUUCACUCCUUCAACGAGU
Molecule: unclassified non-coding RNA, 312 nt
Filed under: Zea mays
Lineage: Eukaryota; Viridiplantae; Streptophyta; Magnoliopsida; Poales; Poaceae
Description: misc RNA Zm00001eb365550
Source: RNAcentral